RNAcentral lists this ribosomal RNA (300 nucleotides) under uncultured Bacillus sp. RNAcentral's name for it is "bacterial SSU rRNA". It matches the Rfam family "Bacterial small subunit ribosomal RNA", at positions 496 to 795 of the family's 1533-position model. Lineage: Bacteria; Bacillati; Bacillota; Bacilli; Caryophanales; Bacillaceae. The record is from RNAcentral.
GUAAACUUGGGGCCAGAGGCUGUGGCAAGACGAAUGGGGUAAGUGGUAAGCGGAAGUACUGGGCGUAAGGCGUGGGUAGGCGGUUCGUUAAGUCUGCUGUGAAAUCCCCGGGCUCAACCUGGGAAUGGCAGUGGAUACUGGAGAGCUAGAGUGUGAUAGAGGAUGGUGGAAUUCCCGGUGUAGCGGUGAAAUGCGUAGAGAUCGGGAGGAACAUCAGUGGCGAAGGCGGCCAUCUGGAUCAACACUGACGCUGAGGCACGAAAGCGUGGGGAGCAAACAGGAUUAGAUACCCCAGUAGUC